UACGAAGGGGGCUAGCGUUGUUCGGAAUUACUGGGCGUAAAGCGCGCGCAGGCGGUCCUUUAAGUCUGAUGUGAAAGCCCACGGCUCAACCGUGGAAGGUCAUUGGAAACUGGAGGACUUGAGUACAGAAGAGGAAAGCGGAAUUCCACGUGUAGCGGUGAAUGACGUAGAGAUGUGGAGGAACACCAGUGGCGAAGGCGGCUUUCUGGUCUGUAACUGACGCUGAGGCGCGAAAGCGUGGGGAGCAAACAGG
RNAcentral lists this ribosomal RNA (253 nucleotides) under uncultured bacterium. RNAcentral describes it as "partial 16S ribosomal RNA". It matches the Rfam family "Bacterial small subunit ribosomal RNA", at positions 524 to 776 of the family's 1533-position model. The record is from RNAcentral.